GACCACGUGAAAACUUCGACUCAUCCGAAAUUUCGAGUCAACCGAGUUCGAGACAACGAGAGUUAACUGCCUCGAUAUCGGAUAUAUGAAUAGGAUAAUCCACGAGUAAAUAUGUAAAAAUCUGUUUCUCUAAUGAUUAAUAAAUACAUUUUUUUUUUGCUAAGAUAAAAUCCCCUACGAGUGCCUUCCACAUUCCUCAACGUUGUCAAUUUCAUUAACACCUGUUAGCAUAUUUUGAUUUAUCCAGUAAGCUGAUAAAGGUUAUGACCCUUUCUUACAUUCAAUCAUUUAUGGGAUCACCGGCAACCCCACGUUGAUUUUUAUACAAAUGGGUUUCGAAAGGGAUUAAGUUCCAUAGAAUUAGAGAAACACGUGUAUCGUUCAUGAUUCAAUCGUUUAUCUUACAUGUUACAAGCGUUUAUUGUUAAAGCUAUAUUUGUGAAUCGUUCAUGCUACAUGCAUUUAUCGUUCAUUCAACAAACUGUUGUCAAUGUUGAUUAAUAAUGGCAUAUGUCUUAUCGUUAAAGUUAUAGGCGUUAACCAUUAUUGUUACAACCGUUUACCGUUAUUAUUAAAAGUGUUGAUUGAUAUUGUUACAAGUGUUGAUUGUUAAACUAAUAAGCGUGUAUGCGUUAACCGUUAAUGUUACAGUCGUUUAUCGUUAAUGUUACAACUGUUGAUUAUUUAUGAUAUAAGCGUUGAUUAUUCAUGUGGCAUGUAUUAAUUUUUUUCUGUGAAAUACAAAUAUUUAUUACGAUAGUUGUUAAACCUGGAUACAGUCAAGAAAGGAAAGUUAUAUAGUUGUUUUUAUGUUGUAUUAUCGUGUUUUAUGUAUAUUGUUAUUUUGUUAAAAAUAAUUAAUGUUACGAACGUUGAGUUUUCUAUUAUAUAAUGUUUAAUCAUAAUUAAAAGUUGAUGAAAUAUAUGAUAAGGUUAGUUUGUACGUAUUUAUUCGUAGAAGUCUGGCUGGUGAGGUCUUUUAUACUGUCUAAUAAACAGUUUUGGUGACAUAUGAUUUAAAUUAAGUCGAUACCUUGUGUGCAUAUAUAUUUUUACAUGAUAAAAUUAGUUAAAAUGAAAUAAAUGUGGCAACA
Molecule: long non-coding RNA, 1094 nt
Filed under: Mytilus galloprovincialis (Mediterranean mussel)
Lineage: Eukaryota; Metazoa; Mollusca; Bivalvia; Mytilida; Mytilidae
Source: RNAcentral